UGGGUGACCUGCCCUCAGCUCUGGGAUAAGCCUGGGAAACUGGGUCUAAUACCGGAUAUGACUCCUCAUCGCAUGGGUGGGGGGUGGAAAGCUUUAUUGUGGUUUGGAUGGACUCGCGGCCUAUCAGCUUGUUGGUGAGGUAAUAGCUCACCAAGGCGAUGGACGGGUAGCCGGCCUGAGGAGGGUCGACCCGGCCACACGUGGGACUGAGACACGGCCCAGACCUCCGUACGGGAGCAG
This 240-nucleotide ribosomal RNA is filed under the name uncultured bacterium. RNAcentral's name for it is "partial 16S ribosomal RNA". It matches the Rfam family "Bacterial small subunit ribosomal RNA", at positions 118 to 347 of the family's 1533-position model. The record is from RNAcentral.